Long non-coding RNA from Melospiza melodia melodia, 1860 nucleotides. RefSeq lists it as uncharacterized. The record is from RefSeq and is a predicted model, not a curated record. The transcript has 2 exons. NCBI's taxonomy places the organism in Eukaryota, Metazoa, Chordata, Aves, Passeriformes, Passerellidae.
UCUGAGUUAGCCAACCAGGGGAAAGGGUUGUAUUACCAAGCUGAUUUGGAGCAGAGAAUUGUGCUUUUGAUUUGUUUCUCGCUCUUGGUACAUGAAAAAACCAUAAGGAAGUUGCUUAACCUUUAUUUCCAGGCACGCAGUGCUCAAAAAGCAGGUGUAACACUUUCCAGCUGGGAAAAUGUGUGAUAACUCACAGAGCUCUUCCCCCAGGAAUCCCAAGGUGUCAAAGAUAAUCAUCUCUAGGUAAAUAAUGCAAGAGGCUGCUCAGGGCUGGUCUGGAGCUGAGGAGCUCCGUGUGCAGCCUGUGGUUUCAUGGAUGAGCCAUCUCUGCCCCAGCUGUGUCACUCACCAUCAGGCUUCCAGAAGUGCCAGCAGCUCCCAUGGGGGUGGAGGGGCUCAUUGAGAGGAAAAUUCAGUUUUUCCAUUGUGGGGUGAGAUUGCAGCAGCAGAGAGAGAGGUGUGAGCACAGCUAGUGCCUCUCAUGUCCUCUCCCCUCUGCCUACACACUUGUGCCCGUCCCAGUGUCUCGUGGCUCCUCACCUGUGGGAUCUUGUGGAUCUCGUUGGAUGGGGCUUGGAGCAACCUGGACUAGUGAAGGUGGGGGGACUGCAAGAGCUUUAAGGGCCUUUCCAACCCAAACCAUGCUGUGGUUCUGCUGGCACCCACCUCUGUCAGGUCAAGACAUCUGAGAUUGCAGAGUGAUAUAGAGAUUUCCAACCUCUGUCACUGUGUGCAGGUUUUGGAACACACUGUUUGAAUUCAAGUAAAUACAAAGUAAUAGGUGUAUAAUGAACUGUUUUAGCUAAAUUGCAAACACAGAUCUGGAUGUCACAGGCUCUAUUUCUCUGAUUGCUUAAUAUGAAGGCACAAGUGCCAGCGUGGAGAGCAAGUGACUUGGAUUAAGAUAAUGCUGCGAUGUCAGAUGAUUACCCCUUAGCCCAAAUUUCCCUGGGAUGAAAAGAAAAACCUUCCCAGCACAGUGUACAACACGAUUCAAUCAUUCCCAUCAUAGGAUGGUUCUUACACCUUCCUCUGCCCUACUUGUUUUGCUUUUCUGGGAGGAGGAAGUAAAAUUUUCAUUAUUUCACCUUCUUGGAUCUUAAGGGAAGGAAAUGGGACAGUAAAUCAUGGCAGACAAGUAGCUGAACUUAAAAAGUUUAUUUUAUAUUUGAGUGGGAACUUCUCAGUUGUUUUUCCCAUGGAGUCCUUCCUUUUCAUGUAACUGAUUCUAAUUUCUGCUGUUUCCAUCAGGCACUAGUGCAGAACACAAAGGAGGACAAGCAGCAUGAGCAGGAGCCCUGACUACUUCCAUGAAACAGGAUUUUGAAGAGCAGCAGAGCCCUCUAUCUCAAGGCUGGAGGAAAAGCAGCGGCCAGCGAUGGGAAAAAUAAACGGGACAAGGAACAAUUUCAAACCAGCCCUCGUUGCACUUUAUACUGAGGAAUAUUUCAAAGAAACAAGAAUUACGGAGGCUGGAAGUGCUCUAAGAUAAAACAUCCAAGCACAUGGAACUUCAGCCUGAUUAUCUGCCUGUACAGAGAGAACCAGACAAGGGAUUUGAUGCUCCUCACCUCAAACAGCUCAAGACACGGAUUUCACACAGAGUCAUGGGGCAAAGUUACAGUUUAUUAGCCAAGGCUUAUCUCCCUGUUAAUCCCCUCUGGCCAUGGGAACAAGCACAGCAGGUCCCGGGGAGCUCCGGAGCCACGUGGGCACUGCUCCUGGUCACCGGGCCCUGCUCGUGGGCACCGGGCACUGCUCCUGCUCAGCGGUCGCACUCGUAGUCAGCCGGGUUCUUCCUCUUGAGCCGCUCGAACUCCUGGUUCCCCCAGGAAUAAAUCAGGUAACCGAGGGCCAGGG